RNAcentral lists this ribosomal RNA (606 nucleotides) under Zygosaccharomyces sp. MM1. RNAcentral describes it as "eukaryotic LSU rRNA". It matches the Rfam family "Eukaryotic large subunit ribosomal RNA", at positions 48 to 659 of the family's 3401-position model. The record is from RNAcentral. Lineage: Eukaryota; Fungi; Ascomycota; Saccharomycetes; Saccharomycetales; Saccharomycetaceae.
AAGCGGAGGAAAAGAAACCAACCGGGAUUGCCUUAGUAACGGCGAGUGAAGCGGCAAAAGCUCAAAUUUGAAAUCUGGCGCCUUCGGUGCCCGAGUUGUAAUUUGUAGAAGGCUGCUUUUGGGGUCGGUCCUUGUCUAUGUUCCUUGGAACAGGACGUCAUGGAGGGUGAGAAUCCCGUAUGGCGAGGACCCGUGCUCCUUGUAAAGCGCUUUCGAAGAGUCGAGUUGUUUGGGAAUGCAGCUCUAAGUGGGUGGUAAAUUCCAUCUAAAGCUAAAUAUAGGCGAGAGACCGAUAGCGAACAAGUACAGUGAUGGAAAGAUGAAAAGAACUUUGAAAAGAGAGUGAAAAAGUACGUGAAAUUGUUGAAAGGGAAGGGCAUUUGAUCAGACAUGGCGUUUUGCGCCCCCUGCCUCUCGUGGGCGGGGGAAUCUCGCAGCUCGCUGGGCCAGCAUCGGUUUUUGCGGCAGGAGAAAUCCUUGGGAACGUAGCUUGUUUCUUUGAUUCAAGUAUUAUAGCCCUUGGGAAUACUGCCAGCGGGGACCGAGGACUGCGGUGCUUGUCGCCAAGGAUGCUGGCAUAAUGGUUAUAUGCCGCCCGUCUUGAAA